This 356-nucleotide long non-coding RNA is filed under the name Trifolium pratense (red clover). Its description in RNAcentral is "long non-coding RNA (TPRA_LNC012421)". Lineage: Eukaryota; Viridiplantae; Streptophyta; Magnoliopsida; Fabales; Fabaceae. The record is from RNAcentral.
AUUGAAUAACAAUAAUAUUAAAAAGGUCCCAAGGAUCCUCAACAAUUCACAUGGUUCAAAUCAAUUCAAGAAAGAUCAUCUACUAGUUCUAAUCAAAUAGAAAUUUAGCUACUCAUGCUAAACAUAACAAUGAAAUUAUGAAUAAUAGACAUGAUUUGCACCUUUUGAAUAAAGACUCAAUGAAGAAUUCUUUUGUCUCUAGGUUACGGCCGUGAAUCCCUUUCUCCAAAGUCUGCCUCCCUUUUUUCCAAAUAAAAGCUGCUAUAUAUAUGUUGAAAAGCAAGUACCCAUCGUGCACUAAGAAUAGAUUGCGUCCCUAUAAUGCAUAAUCUGUCUUUUCUUAUGAUGACGUGUCA